CACAUAUUAGCGCCCGACUGUGCCACCAAGCUCAAAUCAGGGGCUGCAAGAUUCCAUCACUAGUCUUCGUGUGGUUGUCUUGGUCUUGGAUUGUAAAGCCCAGUUUGGGAUUUUGCUACAACUGCUCAUUCAGUGAGGAUUCUGAUCGAAGACGAUCAGAAGGAGAAAGGACUUUGCCCAAGUAACUCCAGCUGGUUAUAUUGACACACUAUAUGAAUGUAACGCCAUACAGAGGCAUGUUUCAUGUGUGGCAGAGGUAAGGUUCUAUUAGUGUUCUCCUGAUCUUUAGUCUCGCAGUCUGCACUUCUCCAAGAAUGAAACUGAUUCAUGUCUUCUUAUAUUCUUCCGUAAAGCACUUACAUAAAAACAAUGUGAUAUCCCUUUCAAAUGAGGAAAAAAUAAGACAAAAAGUGUAAAUGACCCUUUUAGAUGAUUGUCAGGUUUAUUUUACUUUGUUAUGUUUCCACUCUUUUUGCAACUGCAUUUCGGAAUAUGUGGUUCUUCUAUUCCAGACUUUCUUAGUCCCUUAAUUUGGAGGUAUAACAAAAUGAGUGAAGUUUUCCCUCGAAAAAAUGAGUGAAGUUUUUGUUACUCCCUCAACAUUUCAUUGAGGCUUUAAAUUAUUUUCAUUCUUUUAUUCCAGGACUAGAGGUAAUUAAAACUUCAUCUGAGGAAGCAAUCUACAAAGUCAAGUGGAGCAAUAGCGUCCAAGCAGUCUUGUUGCUAUGUUCUUGCUUUUGCUGUACACAAAGAGGCCGGGAUUGAGCA
This 768-nucleotide long non-coding RNA is filed under the name Triticum aestivum (bread wheat). Its description in RNAcentral is "long non-coding RNA (TAES_LNC000258)". The record is from RNAcentral. Lineage: Eukaryota; Viridiplantae; Streptophyta; Magnoliopsida; Poales; Poaceae.